UUGUUUUUCAGACACUCUACAGGCAAGCUGGUGCCAAUGGAAGAACAACCCAGAACACUGUAUUAUGGAUGCCAAGAUGGGAAAAUCCUGAUCUAAGCUGGCCGCAGCCUGGAGCCAAAAUACUUCCUGACAGGCGAACAUGUGGGAGCAGGUGCAACUGGUGCUUUUCAGUGUGUCCUUUCAGUCCAUUACAUGGGUGGUACACCCCCACAGAAUGAAAAUAUCUGGAUGUGCCCCUCCCCGAUGGCCAUGGAGGAGCAGACCCAAUGGCCUGUUGCAAGGAGUGGACAAUUGGGUGUAAUGUAUUGGCUAUUUACAUGCUGCCAUCGGGACUUUGGUGCACAAAUGGAUCUGUGGAACUCAUUGCUGUGGACAAUCUAAGCAGUGCAUACUACCUGCUUCCAUACCAAGUGGUCGAGCUGGUUUGGACAAUACCCCAUUUCUCUGUGGACAUUCAAUGGACUCAUGAUAUAGACAAAGGCAAGCAAAACCUGCAGGAGCAGCUCGAUGCAACUGCCACCAAUUGGACACAUUACAAAUAUAUUCUCCAGAACGGUGUUAAAAGGAUCUUACCCCUCUGAAAAGAGGGAAAAGCAGUGUUUCUGGUAGUGGCCCAGAUGUUGGACUAUAUUACAAUGAUCAGGGCUGACCAUAUUACCGUGGCUAUUGGCUUAUUGUUAAGUGUGCUAAUUUACAAUGUAUACUGUGGUGGUGAAGGGGGGCACAGACCCACAAGGUACAACCACUAAUUGUCACAUAAGUAAUGUAAACAGUCCUCCGCCAAAGUGUAACAGAUAACUUGGACCCAGCCUUCUCGGGCCCAUUACUAGGGGGAGUCUGAUACACUCAUUGGAUUAUACGUGCAGUAUGUCCAUAUGAGGGAAGGUGCAGGGCACCAUACUGCUUAGGGAGCAGUGGGGCAACUGGAGCACCGGCACAUUCCAUCCUGAUACCUGGCCCUAUCGGGAAAUAUGCUGCCAUAUGUCCUAUGCUUUUCCUGGGAUACCGGGGCAGGAGAGUCCCAAAAGAAAAUAAAGGGGUGGAGUGCUAGUAUAUAGGUCUGUUUGUUAGCCUGGGCUAGAAUUUUGAGUUAUACUCUUAUACUAAAGUGUGUAAAUAAGGGACAAAGACACUAUGAUGUUACUUCUGCCUCGUCAGUUGGAUUUGUUAGUACAAUGGGAACAGAUAUGAGCCGUUAAAAUGUUACUUGAGAGCCCACUUUAAGAUUGCCUCAACCCCUAUCUCAAGGCAAAGUCAAGCAACCAGUGGGGAGAUGCCAAGGGGCUUGGGUGGGGGUGGUAUAAAAGACCAAACAAAUGCCCAUCCCUGACCAGAGCACCACCUCGCUCUUUACCCCUCCCAAGGGGUACAAAAGGGGUAGAAGACCCCAGUCCAAAAAUGGAACAUGACCCUAUGUUGUAAGGGGUGGGACUAGGAGCAUGCACUGCAGGUAUAUUUGGGCCUGCUAAGAAGGAUGAGGUGGGAAGGGGGACAUGGGGUAAAUGCUCUGCAGGGUUGGAGCUGAGACAGAACACUGCAAAACAAACUCUGCUGGUGCGUAGAGCUAUGGAUAUGCUUGUUUGGAACUAACCCCCAUAAACAUUGGAUUGUCUGCACUCUGGACUUCUGGUCGUCUGCUUUCUGUCUGUGUGACAAGAACCAGAAGAGAGGGUGAAGGGAAAGCCCUCUAACAGGCAAUCUCUGUACACCCGAGACCUCUUCCUGCACAUGCACGCCCAUGGGGAGCGUUCCUUUCUCUAACAGAUACACCCUUCUACGCUCUUUUGCCUAGUGCUAUUGGCUGAGUCAGGCCCCAAUAAAGAGGUGAUAAAGUACAGAGUAGCACUUAGUGGAAGAGAAGAUCAAGAGGUUUAAAGGGCUGGAAUUCUGUCUCUCCACAUCGCUUUUCUUUCAUUGCUCAGCUGGAUCAGUUUCCUCUGUGUAGGAGAAUGUCUCUCAGUUUAGUUCCUGUUGUUCAUUCCUACAGGAUAUGAAGAUUGACAGAACUGUUUGAAACAUGUCUAUUCCAUUAAUGUUCAGGCUAUGCAAAUUUUGGACAAAGCAGAUGAUUAAAUGAUAACACGGCAAGAUUGAAUGUCUCCUUGCGAAAGUAUGGGGCCUCAGGCUGGUGCCUUACAUUCUUUUACCUGCCUCUUAAAGCUUCUUUUUCACCUUGCCUUGCGAGCCCCUCCCAUCUGAAGGUGUGAUUCUCUUUGUUUUCUUUCCCUGCUCUUCAGUAAGAAGGAAUAAUCUAUUUAGAACAUUCCACGGUCAAACUGGUUACUUCUGUCAU
Molecule: long non-coding RNA, 2293 nt
Organism: Mauremys reevesii (Reeves's turtle)
Lineage: Eukaryota; Metazoa; Chordata; Testudines; Geoemydidae
Exons: 3
Source: RefSeq, a predicted model, not a curated record